GGAUGUAGCUCAGUGGCAGAGUACUUUCCUAGCAUGUGCGAAGUCCUGGGUUCCAUCCCCAGCACCG
Molecule: transfer RNA, 67 nt
Filed under: Marmota monax (woodchuck)
Lineage: Eukaryota; Metazoa; Chordata; Mammalia; Rodentia; Sciuridae
Description: tRNA.Ala
Source: RNAcentral